Molecule: ribosomal RNA, 253 nt
Filed under: uncultured bacterium
Lineage: Bacteria
Description: partial 16S ribosomal RNA
Rfam family: Bacterial small subunit ribosomal RNA
Source: RNAcentral
UACGGAGGGUGCAAGCGUUGUCCGGAAUUAUUGGGCGUAAAGAGCGUGUAGGCGGUUCGGUAAGUCUGCCGGGAAAUCCUGGGGCUCAACCCCGGGCGUGCGGUGGAUACUGCCGGGCUAGAGGGUGGUAGAGGCGAGUGGAAUUCCCGGUGUAGCGGUGAAAUGCGCAGAUAUCGGGAGGAACACCAGUAGCGAAGGCGGCUCGCUGGGCCAUUCCUGACGCUGAGACGCGAAAGCUAGGGGAGCGAACGGG